This 465-nucleotide ribosomal RNA is filed under the name uncultured bacterium. RNAcentral's name for it is "partial 16S ribosomal RNA". It matches the Rfam family "Bacterial small subunit ribosomal RNA", at positions 28 to 507 of the family's 1533-position model. The record is from RNAcentral.
GACGAACGCUGGCGGCGUGCUUAACACAUGCAAGUCGUACGGUAAGGCCCUUUCGGGGGUACACGAGUGGCGAACGGGUGAGUAAAACGUGAGUAACCUGCCCACAACUUUGGGAUAACGCUAGGAAACUGGUGCUAAUACUGGAUAUGUGCUUCUGCUGCAUGGUGGGGGUUGGAAAGCUCCGGCGGUUGUGGAUGGACUCGCGGCCUAUCAGCUUGUUGGUGGGGUAGUGGCCUACCAAGGCGGCGACGGGUAGCCGGCCUGAGAGGGUGACCGGCCACAUUGGGACUGAGAUACGGCCCAGACUCCUACGGGAGGCAGCAGUGGGGAAUAUUGCACAAGGGGCGCAAGCCUGAUGCAGCAGCGCCGCGUGCGGGAUGACGGCCUUCGGGUUGUAAACCGCUUUCAGCAGGGACGAAGCUUUUUGUGACGGUACCUGCAGAAGAAGCACCGGCUAACUACGUG